GGGGGGGGGGGGGGGGGGGGGGGGGGGGGGGGGGGGGGGGGGGGGGGGCCGGGGUGGGGGGGGUGCUCGGGGGGGGGGCGGGGGAGGGGCGCGUGGGUAACCUGCCCUGGACUUUGGGGUGACUUCAGGAGACUGGGGCUAAUACCGGAUAGGAGCUCCUGCUGCGUGGUGGGGGUUGGAAAGGUUCGGCGGUUGGGGAUGGACUCGCGGCUUAUCCGCUUGUUGGUGGGGUAGUGGCUUACCAAGGCUUUGACGGGUAGCCGGCCUGAGAGGGUGACCGGCCACAUUGGGACUGAGAUACGGCCCAGACUCCUACGGGAGGCAGCAGUGGGGAAUAUUGCACAAUGGGCGGAAGCCUGAUGCAGCAACGCCGCGUGCGGGAUGACGGCCUUCGGGUUGUAAACCGCUUUCGCCUGUGACGAAGCGUGAGUGACGGUAAUGGGUAAAGAAGCACCGGCUAACUACGUG
RNAcentral lists this ribosomal RNA (468 nucleotides) under uncultured bacterium. RNAcentral describes it as "partial 16S ribosomal RNA". The stretch from base 58 to 468 matches the Rfam family "Bacterial small subunit ribosomal RNA", at positions 39 to 507 of the family's 1533-position model. The record is from RNAcentral.